GUAAAUGAGGGCGUAUGGGGAAUGCCUAGGCUCUUGGAGGCGAAGAAAGACGUGGUAAGCUGCGAAAAGCUGCGGGGAUUUGCAAACAAGAUUUGAUCCGGAGAUUUCUGAAUGGGACAACCCGUCAGGUAGAAGACCUGACACAUCGUAAGAUGGGCCAACCCUCUGAACUGAGACAUCUUAGUAGGAGGAGGAAAAGAAAGAACCAUCGAUUUCCUAAGUAGCGGCGAGCGAACGGGAAACAGCCUAAACCACAAUUGUUACGGCAACUGUGGGGUUGUAGGACUGCAAUAUUCAAAUGACUGUGAACUGGAAUGUUCUGGAAAGUUCAUCCAUAGAGAGUGAAAGACUCGUACAGGCAAGCACGUCAGGCGAUAGCAGUAUCCUGAGUAGGGCGGGACACGAGGAAUCCUGUCUGAAUCCGCCGGGACCACCCGGUAAGGCUAAAUACUCCCAAGAGACCGAUAGUGAACCAGUACCGUGAGGGAAAGGUGAAAAGAACCCCGAACAGGGGAGUGAAAUAGAACCUGAAACCAUACGCUUACAACCGGUCGGAGCAGCUUCGUGCUGUGACGGCGUGCCUAUUGAAUAAUGAGCCUACGAGUUACUAAUCACUGGCGAGGUUAAGUGCACGGAUGCACGGAGCCGAAGCGAAAGCGAGUCUGAACAGGGCGGCUAGUCAGUGGUUGUAGACGCGAAACCUUGCGAUCUACCCUUGAGCAGGUUGAAGGUUGGGUAAAACCAACUGGAGGACCGAACGAAUAAGCGUUGAAAAGCUUCUCGAUGACUUGAGGGUAGGGGUGAAAGGCUAAUCAAGCUGGGAAAUAGCUCGUACUCCCCGAAAUGCCUUUUGGGGCAGCGUUGUAAUAAAGAGUCUACUGGAGGUAGAGCUACUGAUUGGAUGCGGGGGCUUCACCGCCUACCAAAUCCUGACAAACUCCGAAUGCCAGUAGUAUGAUUUACAGCAGUGAGCGACCGGGUGCUAAUGUCCGGUUACGAGAGUGGAACAACACAGACCAGCAACUAAGGUCCCCAAGAGUAUACUAAGUUGAUCUAACGAUGUUUUGCUGCAGAGACAGCUAGGAUGUUAGCUUGGAAGCAGCUAUUCAUUCAAAGAGUGCGUAACAGCUCACUAGUCGAGCGACAGAGCGUGGAUAAUAAACGGGCAUCAAGCAUAUCACCGAAGUUCUGGGCGCGAGAGCGCGGUAGGGGAGCAUUCCAUUCAGCGUCGAAGCAGUUUCGUGAGGAAUUGUGGAGCGUAUGGAAAAGCAAAUGUAGGCAUGAGUAACGAUAAUGCGGGAGAGUAACCCGCACACCGCAAGACCAAGGUUUCCUGAUCAACGCUAAUCGGAUCAGGGUUAGUCGGGUCCUAAGGGUAAGCCGAACGGUGAUCUCGAUGGAUAAUCGGUUAAUAUUCCGAUACUAACAUAUACCUCGAUGGAGAGACGAAGGAACGUAAGUGCCGCCACCUGACGGAAUAGGUGGUUAAAGGGCGUAGGUAUAGGGGCAGAUUAAGAGUUAGUCCUUGCUGAAACCUGACAGUACAGAGAGCCUACGGGCAAUUUGAUAGAGCACCCAAGUCGACUUCCGAGAAAAUCUUCUAAGUUAUAGUAUAUGUUACCCGUACCGUAAACCGACACAGGUGGUCGAGGAGAGUAUCCUAAGGUGCUCGAGUGAAUCACGGUUAAGGAACUAGGCAAAUUAACCCCGUAACUUCGGGAAAAGGGGUCCCAUCGCGAGGUGGGCGCAGCGAAGAGGUCCAGGCGACUGUUUAUCAAAAACACAGGGCUCUGCAAAUUCGAAAGAAGACGUAUAGGGCCUGACACCUGCCCGGUGCUGGAAGGUUAAGAGGGGAUGUCAUCGCAAGAGAAGCAUUGAAUCGAAGCCCCAGUAAACGGCGGCCGUAACUAUAACGGUCCUAAGGUAGCGAAAUUCCUUGUCGGGUAAGUUCCGACCUG
RNAcentral lists this ribosomal RNA (1958 nucleotides) under human gut metagenome. RNAcentral describes it as "bacterial LSU rRNA". It matches the Rfam family "Bacterial large subunit ribosomal RNA", at positions 1 to 1990 of the family's 2925-position model. The record is from RNAcentral.